RNAcentral lists this ribosomal RNA (294 nucleotides) under uncultured Microsporidia. RNAcentral's name for it is "partial small subunit ribosomal RNA". It matches the Rfam family "Microsporidia small subunit ribosomal RNA", at positions 112 to 405 of the family's 1311-position model. Lineage: Eukaryota; Fungi; Microsporidia. The record is from RNAcentral.
GUUGCUGGGGUCGUAACUACGGGAAUCUGUAGGUGUGUAUCGGUGAUUGUGAGUGGUAGUCCUAUCAGCUAUAUCGUAGGGUAAUGGCCUACGGUGGCGAUGACGGGUGACGGAGGAUGGAUGUCUGAUUCCGGAGAGGGAGCCUGAGAGAUGGCUACUACGUCUAAGGAUGGCAGCAGGCGCGAAACUUGUCCAAUGUUUGUAUGAGACAGUUAUGGGGAUUCGACAGGAUACGCAGUGUUAAGAGGUGUGUGUUUGAUAUUGGAGGGCAAGUCGGGUGCCAGCAUCCGGCGG